GCUGAUCGGGGUCCGCUAGUAGGACGAUUAGUGUUGUGACGAUGAUCAAUGAGCCGGACGCACAGUGAUACCUAUCAUCUCCCAAAAAGUUGGCCAAAAUGCAGUCCUUAAGAUUGCCUUUUAAUUUGAGUCCCGUCGACAUUUAUGCGGAUAAUACUUGUGGAGACUUCGUUGGGACUUCCAAAAAUAAAGCUCGGGACAUAAAUUCACGAAGAUUUACAAUCUGUUUGUCAGCUGACGCAGCAAGAACUAGCAGAAGGUCGAACUCCGGCAGAACUUUCUUUCCCGAGCCAAGGAUACAGUGGAGCCUCCGUUAUCCGACUUGAAUAACGUGGCAUAAAUGUUCGGAUAAUGCAGCAAUGACUGAAUAACGGUUAACGGUCUUUUUAUCACGUUUCAAAGACUUUCGUGAUCAGUGUAUUUGUGUAAUUUACAAUUGUGGCACCAGAGGUUCGGACAAUCGAGUUCCUAGUGUACCAAAAAAUCCGCAACAAGUGCAGUUAAUCAAACAAUCAGAUCCAUGCCAGUAAUCGCCAAGAAACAAGCGAUUCACUGGCCUAUGAGUCAUUGUGGCGGCGCCACCGUAGCUUUAAUAGCCACGUAAACUGAAUAAGCCGUGUCAGGCCACGGCUUCUGACCUUGUGGCACGCGUUGCGACCAUCAACUAUCGGCGAGACCUUUCAGUGUCAUUUGCUUUCUUCGACUGCCUUCCAAAGCAUCCGAUGACUGAUCGAAGGGAACACCAGUUUGAAUCGUGCGUUUUGGGGGAUUUGUCGUGGACUUGCUGAUAUCAUUUAUCAAAAUUAGGUUAGACCAGGGUUAGUUCUAAGUCUAGCGAAGGCAGCAUAAAUGUGGCACAUCUGCGUUUUGGGGACUUUUCGUCGACGUGGACUUGCCAAUGCCAUUUUUCAAAAUUCGGUCGCCACUAGUUUUUGUUCUUGAACUUGGCCGCCACUUAUUAUUCGAUUAUUAGAUAUUAUAUUAUUAGAUAUUAUUGGAUAUCGCACACUGUCUCCAAAAUGAACACAAAUAAACAAAUAAAAUACAGUAA
This is a long non-coding RNA of Megalopta genalis, 1051 nucleotides long. RefSeq lists it as uncharacterized. The record is from RefSeq and is a predicted model, not a curated record. NCBI's taxonomy places the organism in Eukaryota, Metazoa, Arthropoda, Insecta, Hymenoptera, Halictidae.